RNAcentral lists this ribosomal RNA (253 nucleotides) under uncultured bacterium. Its description in RNAcentral is "partial 16S ribosomal RNA". It matches the Rfam family "Bacterial small subunit ribosomal RNA", at positions 524 to 776 of the family's 1533-position model. The record is from RNAcentral.
UACGUAGGAUGCGAGCGUUGUCCGGAAUUAUUGGGCGUAAAGAGCACGUAGGCGGUUUGUUAAGUUUGGGCUUAAAGACUGGGGCUCAACCCCAGGAGUGGCUCGAAAACUGACAGACUAGAGGAUGGCAGAGGAAAGUGGAAUUCCCAGUGUAGCGGUGAAAUGCGUAGAUAUUGGGAGGAACACCAGUGGCGAAAGCGACUUUCUGGGCCAUUCCUGACGCUGAGGAACGAAAGCUAGGGGAGCAAACAGG